ACAUAAUUUCAAAAAUAAUUUUCUAGCAUUUUCUCUCUCCUCCUUCAUUCGACAGUUUCGACACUCCAAAUCUUCUUUCCUCUUUCAAUUUCUCUGCUCCCUUUCAACUGCUAUUUGCUUUGAUUCUUCAUCAAUUCUUCUUCAAACUUCAUUGAUUCUUUGUCAAGGUGAUUUUCGUUGAUAUUAGUUUGAUUUUCGUUAUCUUACAUAUUUUCGUUUUUUUCGAAAAAACCUAGAUAUCACGCUUAUUUGUGCUAUUACGUUGAUUUUAGUUUGAUUUUAGGUUUAUUUGAAUAAUUAUUAAGUUGAUUUUAGUUUUUUUGAGUAAUUAUUUUUUAUUUGUGUUUUUACCUUGAUUUUUGUUUGAUUUUUCGGAUUAAUUUUUUCAAUUGUGUUUAAUUUUUCUGCUUAAUUGUAUUAAUUUCGUGUUCUUAUUCUUUGAAUUGUUUGGAUUUUGAGGAUUAUUCUAAUUGUUACUUGAGGGAACUUCAACUUCUCCAUUUAAGCAAUUUCUGAGUUCCUCUUCUAAUCCAUUGAAACUAUUCCAUGAGGUAAGAUAUUCUUUCGACGGAAAGUGAUAGGAUGUGAUGAGGUUGGAAGGAUAGGUGAGGAUGUCAUCACCUUCAAAAACCCAAUUUGAAGGGACCCAAGUAUGCAGAACAAUCCGUUGUUGAAGUUGAUAGUAGUGGUCUAUGGAAGGAAGAUGCUCCUGAGCUUAAACAUUGUUGGGCCCAACCAAGUUUGGUUGGAGACUAAUCUAAGGGAUAUGUUACUUUCUCCUUGACGGAUGGUCCAGAAUACCAUGUCUCACAGUAGUUGAGUUGAUUCCAAGACUUGGAGCAUGGAGGCUUUUCAAAGACAUUCGAAGAAAAAUACAUUGCUUAUAAUGGACGUAUUCAAGGAGGAUUCAAGUCUUGAAGAUUACAUGAAGAAAAGAAGAUUUGUACUUUAAUGAUUAAUCUAGUUUUAUCAUGUAAUGUGCUCCGUAGUAUGACUUGCAUGUUUGGGUAAAAUAAGUGCUUAUAAGUGUAUUGAGGUAUAUAAUGAAUUCUGGUACAAAGCUGGAACAUAAUUCAUAACAUACUCAAUUCAGGGAACCAGGUUCACUGUACGGAAUAUCCAUGCUGCGUGUUUUGAAAAGGAUUUUGUAACAAUAUUUUUCAAAAGAUUAUCUUGAAAAUAUUCUAAGCAGCUGGAAAUUAGAUGAUAA
This is a long non-coding RNA of Chenopodium quinoa (quinoa), 1210 nucleotides long. RefSeq lists it as uncharacterized. The transcript has 3 exons. The record is from RefSeq and is a predicted model, not a curated record. Lineage: Eukaryota; Viridiplantae; Streptophyta; Magnoliopsida; Caryophyllales; Amaranthaceae.